CGACCGGCGCACGGGUGAGUAACACGUAUCCAACCUGCCGAUGACUCGGGGAUAGCCUUUCGAAAGAAAGAUUAAUACCCGAUGGCAUAGUUCUUCCGCAUGGUGGAACUAUUAAAGAAUUUCGGUCAUCGAUGGGGAUGCGUUCCAUUAGCUAGUUGGUGAGGUAAUGGCCCACCAAGGCAACGAUCGGUAGCCGGACUGAGAGGUUGAACGGCCACAUUGGGACUGAGACACGGCCCAGACUCCUACGGGAGGCAGCAUG
RNAcentral lists this ribosomal RNA (262 nucleotides) under uncultured bacterium. Its description in RNAcentral is "partial 16S ribosomal RNA". It matches the Rfam family "Bacterial small subunit ribosomal RNA", at positions 92 to 353 of the family's 1533-position model. The record is from RNAcentral.